CUUCUUUUAAAUAUAGUCUCCUUUUUUACUGUGUUGAUUCGCUUUAUGUAUUUAAAUGUUUCUAUCAUAUCCCCCCUGUCUCGUCUUUCCUCCAAGCUAUACAUGUUAAGAUCCUUUAACCUUUCCUGGUAAGUUUUAUCCCGUAAUCCAUGAACCAGUUUAGUAGCUGUGGCAGAAGCAGCCACAAGAGACUGUACCUGCAUUAUUAUUGCGUUGUAUUUGUCCUAAUAAUCGCUGAAUACCUGGUAUGCGAACCGCU
This is a non-coding RNA of Pelobates cultripes (western spadefoot toad), 259 nucleotides long. Lineage: Eukaryota; Metazoa; Chordata; Amphibia; Anura; Pelobatidae. The record is from the annotation of a GenBank genome assembly.